AAGGCAUGCAAGCCCAGAGAAGUUAAAUAACUUUUCCAAGGUCUCACAGCUACUAUGAGGCAGAAUAAGCAUUUGAACUUUGGCAGUUUCCUCAAGUCCAGGCUCUUUAUCCCUAUACCAUCUUGCCUCAUGACUGGAAUUAUUUGAAUAGCUAUUAUUCUUUCUCUUUGCCUUCCCAUCUUACUCUUAAGGGGAAUUCUGCAUUAUAGCUAGUAGUCCAAGCUCAUUGAGCUGUGCCCACUGCAGGUCAUCAGAAAUAUAGAAAAAGCUGAGUGACACAGCCUAGGCAACGUGGUGAAACCCCAUCUCUAUAAAAAAUACAAAAAAAUUAGUUGAGUGUGGUGGCAUGC
This 350-nucleotide long non-coding RNA is filed under the name Pan troglodytes (chimpanzee). RNAcentral describes it as "long non-coding RNA NONPTRT013031". Lineage: Eukaryota; Metazoa; Chordata; Mammalia; Primates; Hominidae. The record is from RNAcentral.